This 368-nucleotide ribosomal RNA is filed under the name uncultured organism. RNAcentral describes it as "bacterial SSU rRNA". It matches the Rfam family "Bacterial small subunit ribosomal RNA", at positions 526 to 896 of the family's 1533-position model. The record is from RNAcentral.
CGGAGGGUGCAAGCGUUAUCCGGAUUUACUGGGUUUAAAGGGUGUGUAGGCGGGUCUUUAAGUCAGUGGUGAAAUCUCCGAGCUCAACUUGGAAACUGCCAUUGAUACUAUUGAUCUUGAAUUCUGCUGAGGUUGGCGGAAUAAGUCAUGUAGCGGUGAAAUGCAUAGAUAUGACUUAGAACACCGAUUGCGAAGGCAGCUAACUAAGCAGAUAUUGACGCUGAGGCACGAAAGCGUGGGGAUCAAACAGGAUUAGAUACCCUGGUAGUCCACGCCCUAAACGAUGAUUACUCGACAUACGCGAUACACAGUGUGUGUCUGAGCGAAAGCAUUAAGUAAUCCACCUGGGAAGUACGACCGCAAGGUUG